RNAcentral lists this long non-coding RNA (676 nucleotides) under Canis lupus familiaris (dog). Its description in RNAcentral is "lncRNA (ENSCAFG00845003184.1)". The record is from RNAcentral. Lineage: Eukaryota; Metazoa; Chordata; Mammalia; Carnivora; Canidae.
CCCUUCUUGCUUGGUUGCUUCCCAAGCCUUCCUGCUGAUACCAUGUCAAUGAUUUUAAGAAGAAGCCUGGACUUUCCUCUAUUCUUUCCAAAUCACACCAUUGAGAGACAGAACUGCGGAGAGAAAAAAGAGAAAUGGAGCCAAUGCAGUGAAAUAUUAGCAGUUAGGGAAUCUGGUGAUUUAACAUGGCCCUUUAAAAAAUGCCUUGGAAGACGUGUCCACCAGCUGCUAGAUCAGAUACACGUUUUUCUUCAUCAGCUGAAGCACCAACAUCCUGGUCAAGCAUGGAUCGGGAGCCACUCAGAUCCCUUGGCUUUGUGCUUCCUUUCAGCCCAUAGCCUGUGGCAUUUGCUUCCAAACAUCAACUGAAGCACAGGGAAAUUUGCAGUGUUUUUAACAGUAUGUGCGAAGCUCCAGGUGCCCUGACGGUGUAGCAAAGAACUUAACUUAAGAGACUGUUGAGGAAUAAAUGGCAAAGUUGUGGCCUUGGCCAACAGAACACUUGCUCUCAAACUAUGGCCUAAUUCACCAAGAAGCCUCAAGUCAAAGUCAAAAUACAGAAUUUCAGAAUCUUUGAGGAAGGUAGUAGGUGUUUGCUUUCAAAAAAAAAAACUUAAUUAAAAAAAGUAAUUUGAAAUGAAUCAUAUACAUACCUAUAAAGGCCAAACUAUAAAAC